Molecule: ribosomal RNA, 562 nt
Filed under: Rhodotorula glutinis
Lineage: Eukaryota; Fungi; Basidiomycota; Microbotryomycetes; Sporidiobolales; Sporidiobolaceae
Description: eukaryotic LSU rRNA
Rfam family: Eukaryotic large subunit ribosomal RNA
Source: RNAcentral
GNCGAGCGAGCGGGNANAGNUCAAAUUUAUAAUCUGGCACCUUCGGUGUCCGAGUUGUAAUCUCUAGAAGUGUUUUCCGCGUUGGACCGCACACAAGUCUGUUGGAAUACAGCGGCAUAGUGGUGAAACCCCCGUAUAUGGUGCGGACGCCCAGCGCUUUGUGAUACACUUUCAAUGAGUCGAGUUGUUUGGGAAUGCAGCUCAAAUUGGGUGGUAAAUUCCAUCUAAAGCUAAAUAUUGGCGAGAGACCGAUAGCGAACAAGUACCGUGAGGGAAAGAUGAAAAGCACUUUGGAAAGAGAGUUAACAGUACGUGAAAUUGUUGGAAGGGAAACGCUUGAAGUCAGACUUGCUUGCCGGAGCUUGCUUCGGUUUGCAGGCCAGCAUCAGUUUUCCGGGGUGGAUAAUGACGGUUUGAAGGUAGCAGUCUCGGCUGUGUUAUAGCUUUCCGUUGGAUACAUCCUGGGGGACUGAGGAACGCAGCGUGCUUUUUGCGAAAGACUCGUCUUUUUCACGCUUAGGAUGCUGGUGGAAUGGCUUUAAACGACCCGUCUUGAAACACG